AACGAACCCUUCGGGGUGAGUGGCGCACGGGUGCGUAACGCGUGGGAACCUGCCCUUAGGUUUGGAAUAACAGUGAGAAAUCGCUGCUAAUACCAAAUAAUGUCUUCGGACCAAAGAUUUAUCGCCUUUGGAUGGGCCCGCGUUGGAUUAGCUAGUUGGUGGGGUAAAGGCUCACCAAGGCGACGAUCCAUAUCUGGUCUUAGAGGAUGAUCAGCCACACUGGGACUGAGACACGGCCCAUACUCCUACGGGAGGCAGCAGUGGGGAAUAUUGGACAAUGGGCGAAAGCCUGAUCCAGCAAUGCCGCGUGAGUGAUGAAGGCCUUAGGGUUGUAAAGCUCUUUUACCAGGGAUGAUAAUGACAGUACCUGGAGAAUAAGCUCCGGCUAACUCCGUGCCAGCAGCCGCGGUAAUACAGAGGGAGCUAGCGUUGUUCGGAAAUACUGGGCGUAAAGCGCGCGUAGGCGGCUUUUCAAGUCAGGGGUGAAAUCCCGGGGCUCAACCCCGGAACUGCCCUUGAUACUGGAUCGCUACAAUACUGGAGAGGCAAGUGGAAUUCCGAGUGUAGAGGUGAAAUUCGUAGAUAUUCGGAACAACACCAGUGGCGAAUGCGA
Molecule: ribosomal RNA, 613 nt
Filed under: uncultured organism
Description: bacterial SSU rRNA
Rfam family: Bacterial small subunit ribosomal RNA
Source: RNAcentral